RNAcentral lists this ribosomal RNA (462 nucleotides) under uncultured bacterium. RNAcentral describes it as "partial 16S ribosomal RNA". It matches the Rfam family "Bacterial small subunit ribosomal RNA", at positions 28 to 507 of the family's 1533-position model. The record is from RNAcentral.
GACGAACGCUGGCGGCGUGCUUAACACAUGCAAGUCGAGCGGAAAGGCCCUUCGGGGUCCUCGAGCGGCGAACGGGUGAGUAACACGUGAGUAACCUGCCCCAGACUUUGGGAUAACCCUCGGAAACGGGGGCUAAUACCGGAUACGACACAGCUUCGCAUGGGGUCUGUGUGGAAAGUUUUUCGGUUUGGGAUGGGCUCGCGGCCUAUCAGCUUGUUGGUGGGGUGAUGGCCUACCAAGGCGACGACGGGUAGCCGGCCUGAGAGGGCGACCGGCCACACUGGGACUGAGACACGGCCCAGACUCCUACGGGAGGCAGCAGUGGGGAAUAUUGCACAAUGGGCGGAAGCCUGAUGCAGCGACGCCGCGUGAGGGAUGACGGCCUUCGGGUUGUAAACCUCUUUCAGCAGGGACGAAGCGUAAGUGACGGUACCUGCAGGAGAAGCGCCGGCCAACUACGUG